Molecule: ribosomal RNA, 918 nt
Filed under: uncultured bacterium
Lineage: Bacteria
Description: bacterial SSU rRNA
Rfam family: Bacterial small subunit ribosomal RNA
Source: RNAcentral
ACGCUGGCGGCGUGCCUAAUACAUGCAAGUAGAACGCUGAAGGAGGAGCUUGCUUCUCUGGAUGAGUUGCGAACGGGUGAGUAACGCGUAGGUAACCUGCCUGGUAGCGGGGGAUAACUAUUGGAAACGAUAGCUAAUACCGCAUAACAGUAGAUGUUGCAUGACAUUUGCUUAAAAGGUGCAAUUGCAUCACUACCAGAUGGACCUGCGUUGUACUAGCUAGUUGGUGGGGUAACGGCUCACCAAGGCGACGAUACAUAGCCGACCUGAGAGGGUGAUCGGCCACACUGGGGCUGAGACACGGCCCAGACUCCUACGGGAGGCAGCAGUAGGGAAUCUUCGGCAAUGGACGGAAGUCUGACCGAGCAACGCCGCGUGAGUGAAGAAGGUUUUCGGAUCGUAAAGCUCUGUUGUAAGAGAAGAACGAGUGUGAGAGUGGAAAGUUCACACUGUGACGGUAUCUUACCAGAAAGGGACGGCUAACUACGUGCCAGCAGCCGCGGUAAUACGUAGGUCCCGAGCGUUGUCCGGAUUUAUUGGGCGUAAAGCGAGCGCAGGCGGUUAGAUAAGUCUGAAGUUAAAGGCUGUGGCUUAACCAUAGUACGCUUUGGAAACUGUUUAACUUGAGUGCAAGAGGGGAGAGUGGAAUUCCAUGUGUAGCGGUGAAAUGCGUAGAUAUAUGGAGGAACACCGGUGGCGAAAGCGGCUCUCUGGCUUGUAACUGACGCUGAGGCUCGAAAGCGUGGGGAGCAAACAGGAUUAGAUACCAUGGUAGUCCACGCCGUAAACGAUGAGUGCUAGGUGUUAGACCCUUUCCGGGGUUUAGUGCCGCAGCUAACGCAUUAAGCACUCCGCCUGGGGAGUACGACCGCAAGGUUGAAACUCAAAGGAAUUGACGGGGGGCCCCGCACAAGCGGU